RNAcentral lists this ribosomal RNA (1476 nucleotides) under metagenome. RNAcentral's name for it is "bacterial SSU rRNA". It matches the Rfam family "Bacterial small subunit ribosomal RNA". The record is from RNAcentral.
AGAGUUUGAUCAUGGCUCAGAUUGAACGCUGGCGGCAGGCCUAACACAUGCAAGUCGAACGGUAACAGGAAACAGCUUGCUGUUUCGCUGACGAGUGGCGGACGGGUGAGUAAUGUCUGGGAAACUGCCUGAUGGAGGGGGAUAACUACUGGAAACGGUAGCUAAUACCGCAUAACGUCGCAAGACCAAAGAGGGGGACCCUCGGGCCUCUUGCCAUCGGAUGUGCCCAGAUGGGAUUAGCUUGUUGGUGGGGUAACGGCUCACCAAGGCGACGAUCCCUAGCUGGUCUGAGAGGAUGACCAGCCACACUGAACUGAGACACGGUCCAGACUCCUACGGGAGGCAGCAGUGGGGAAUAUUGCACAAUGGGCGCAAGCCUGAUGCAGCCAUGCCGCGUGUAUGAAGAAGGCCUUCGGGUUGUAAAGUACUUUCAGCGGGGAGGAAGGGAGUAAAGUUAAUACCUUUGCUCAUUGACGUUACCCGCAGAAGAAGCACCGGCUAACUCCGUGCCAGCAGCCGCGGUAAUACGGAGGGUGCAAGCGUUAAUCGGAAUUACUGGGCGUAAAGCGCACGCAGGCGGUUUGUUAAGUCAGAUGUGAAAUCCCCGGGCUCAACCUGGGAACUGCAUCUGAUACUGGCAAGCUUGAGUCUCGUAGAGGGGGGUAGAAUUCCAGGUGUAGCGGUGAAAUGCGUAGAGAUCUGGAGGAAUACCGGUGGCGAAGGCGGCCCCCUGGACGAAGACUGACGCUCAGGUGCGAAAGCGUGGGGAGCAAACAAGAUUAGAUACCCUGGUAGUCCACGCCGUAAACGAUGUCGACUUGGAGGUUGUGCCCUUGAGGCGUGGCUUCCGGAGCUAACGCGUUAAGUCGACCGCCUGGGGAGUACGGCCGCAAGGUUAAAACUCAAAUGAAUUGACGGGGGCCCGCACAAGCGGUGGAGCAUGUGGUUUAAUUCGAUGCAACGCGAAGAACCUUACCUGGUCUUGACAUCCACGGAAGUUUUCAGAGAUGAGAAUGUGCCUUCGGGAACCGUGAGACAGGUGCUGCAUGGCUGUCGUCAGCUCGUGUUGUGAAAUGUUGGGUUAAGUCCCGCAACGAGCGCAACCCUUAUCCUUUGUUGCCAGCGGUCCGGCCGGGAACUCAAAGGAGACUGCCAGUGAUAAACUGGAGGAAGGUGGGGAUGACGUCAAGUCAUCAUGGCCCUUACGACCAGGGCUACACACGUGCUACAAUGGCGCAUACAAAGAGAAGCGACCUCGCGAGAGCAAGCGGACCUCAUAAAGUGCGUCGUAGUCCGGAUUGGAGUCUGCAACUCGACUCCAUGAAGUCGGAAUCGCUAGUAAUCGUGGAUCAGAAUGCCACGGUGAAUACGUUCCCGGGCCUUGUACACACCGCCCGUCACACCAUGGGAGUGGGUUGCAAAAGAAGUAGGUAGCUUAACCUUCGGGAGGGCGCUUACCACUUUGUGAUUCAUGAC